GCGUAGGCGGGAUGCCAAGUCAGCGGUAAAAAAGCGGUGCUCAACGCCGUCGAGCCGUUGAAACUGGCGUUCUUGAGUGGGCGAGAAGUAUGCGGAAUGCGUGGUGUAGCGGUGAAAUGCAUAGAUAUCACGCAGAACUCCGAUUGCGAAGGCAGCAUACCGGCGCCCUACUGACGCUGAGGCACGAAAGCGUGGGUAUCGAACAGGAUUAGAUACCCUGGUAGUCCACGCAGUAAACGAUGAAUGCUAACUGUCCGGUGCGAGUGAGCGCUGGGCGGUACAGCGAAAGCGUUAAGCAUUCCACCUGGGGAGUACGCCGGCAACGGUGAAACUCAAAGGAAUUGACGGGGGCCCGCACAAGCGGAGGAACAUGUGGUUUAAUUCGAUGAUACGCGAGGAACCUUACCCGGGCUCAAACGCAGGCUGACGGGUCCCGAAAGGGGCCUUUCUUCGGACAUUCUGCGAGGUGCUGCAUGGUUGUCGUCAGCUCGUGCCGUGAGGUGUCGGCUUAAGUGCCAUAACGAGCGCAACCCCUGUCCACAGUUGCCAGCAGGUAAAGCUGGGGACUCUGUGGAGACUGCCGGCGCAAGCUGCGAGGAAGGCGGGGAUGACGUCAAAUCAGCACGGCCCUUACGUCCGGGGCGACACACGUGUUACAAUGGCAGGUACAGCGGGAUGCCACGGGGCGACCCGGCGCUGAACCCGAAAACCUGUCUCAGUUCGGAUUGGAGUCUGCAACCCGACUCCAUGAAGCUGGAUUCGCUAGUAAUCGCGCAUCAGCCACGGCGCGGUGAAUACGUUCCCGGGCCUUGUACACACCGCCCGUCAAGCCAUGGAAGCCGGGGGUACCUGAAGUGCGUGACCGCGAGGAGCGCCCUAGGGUAAAACCGGUGACUGGGGCUAAGUCGUAACAAGGUAACCGUAA
Molecule: ribosomal RNA, 925 nt
Filed under: uncultured bacterium
Lineage: Bacteria
Description: bacterial SSU rRNA
Rfam family: Bacterial small subunit ribosomal RNA
Source: RNAcentral